CAGUGUUUGAUUGACUGCCUCUAGCAGCCAAUACGAAAAUUAUACAUAAGUGAGCGAAAUUAAGUAAAAAACGUACAACUGAACUUUUAAAACAUUUAGUUACUCCUGUACAAGCCUUGGGUCCACAAAUGAUUCGUUUGGUUCUAGUUCUUUCUGUCAUUUUGAUCUUGUGUUUCUACGGAGCCAACGGUGCCAAGAAUGUUGGGACCCAGACCUCCUUUCCAUCAUUCGAUAACCAACCGGAAAAGAAAAUGCAGUUUAGUUUUGGGAUACGUUUUCCACUUUUGGCCAAAACAACGAACAUAGUUUCAAAUUAUCGCGGAUAAACGUAAUCGUAGCUUAGUGUGGAAACUAUGGCAUUAAAUUGUGU
Molecule: long non-coding RNA, 370 nt
Organism: Macrosteles quadrilineatus (aster leafhopper)
Lineage: Eukaryota; Metazoa; Arthropoda; Insecta; Hemiptera; Cicadellidae
Exons: 3
Source: RefSeq, a predicted model, not a curated record